This 653-nucleotide ribosomal RNA is filed under the name unidentified microorganism. Its description in RNAcentral is "bacterial SSU rRNA". It matches the Rfam family "Bacterial small subunit ribosomal RNA", at positions 82 to 749 of the family's 1533-position model. The record is from RNAcentral.
CGGUGGUACUCGAGCGGCGAACGGGUGAGUAACACGUGAGUAAUCUGCCCUUGGCUUUGGGAUAGCCACCGGAAACGGUGAUUAAUACCGGAUACGACCACUUCUCGCAUGGGAUGGUGGUGGAAAGUUUUUCGGCCAGGGAUGUGCUCGCGGCCUAUCAGCUUGAUGGUGAGGUAAUGGCUCACCAUGGCUUCGACGGGUAGCCGGCCUGAGAGGGUGACCGGUCACACUGGGACUGAGACACGGCCCAGACUCCUACGGGAGGCAGCAGUGGGGAAUAUUGGACAAUGGGCGGAAGCCUGAUCCAGCAACGCCGCGUGAGGGAUGACGGCCUUCGGGUUGUAAACCUCUUUCGGUGGGGACGAAGCGCAAGUGACGGUACCCACUAAAGAAGCACCGGCCAACUACGUGCCAGCAGCCGCGGUAAUACGUAGGGUGCGAGCGUUGUCCGGAAUUAUUGGGCGUAAAGGGCUCGUAGGCGGUUUGUCGCGUCGGGAGUGAAAACCAGGUGCUUAACACCUGGCUUGCUUUCGAUACGGGCAGACUAGAGGUAUUCAGGGGAGAACGGAAUUCCUGGUGUAGCGGUGAAAUGCGCAGAUAUCAGGAGGAACACCGGUGGCGAAGGCGGUUCUCUGGGAAUGACCUGACGCUGA